This 1155-nucleotide long non-coding RNA is filed under the name Amphibalanus amphitrite. Its description in RNAcentral is "uncharacterized LOC122369333". The record is from RNAcentral. Lineage: Eukaryota; Metazoa; Arthropoda; Thecostraca; Balanomorpha; Balanidae.
GGUUGCAACGUUGCAACAGCCGUAGAAGUAUUGCGUAGGUCAGUAGUGCAUAGCGGAUCAAGACUGCCUGGCCUAGGCACAAGUAUUUGAAGCGUAGUAUCAUCUUGACAUCCGUCUGGGCUGCAACCUGCACACCUCGAUCUCGGCUUUCACAACAUGGAUCCAUCCAGGGAAAUUCCAAGUGAAUCAUUUGAGCAGGCUGAGGGCUCAAAACUAGCCAGAAAAAUGAAGGAGUCUCCUUUUAUGGUGGCAGGUUUGGCUGGUCUGGUUGGCGUGGUUGGCUACAACCUGUACCACUUGCGGCAUAAGCCCAAGGACAUGAAGCUGUCGGUGUACCUGAUCCACAUGCGGGUGGGCGCUCAGGGCUUUGUUGUCAGUUGUUUGACGCUAGGCGUUUGCUACCAAAUGUACCAAGAACACAUGAAGCCGAAAAUCGCCCAAUGGAGGGAAGCCAGCAAGAGCAAAUGAACAUUCGCUUGUGUGCCAUUCUUCAAUAGAGCUUUAUGUCUGUUACGCAUCUAACUACUCGUAGAUUCUGUCAUGCUUUGUGAUUGUUGAAUUUGAGGCAACCUUAAUGUUGCUUAUUUGUAUUGUGCUUGUUUGCUGAUGAUAUUAAACCAGGAAGUAAGCUUACGUACGCUGACGAUUGCCAACCGCAAUAUGUCAUGAUUACAUUCAACUGCAUUUUGAGGUACCUCACUGGCUAUAUUUGUCAUUUUCAUCGCACGGGUGUCGGGUAGGUACAUGAUUUUACAAAUUAUCAAAUUUCAUGUCAUUCUGAUUGCGGGCCAUGGCACGGUUUUACGUGGAUUUAUAUUUAUUCAGUGCUUAGUGCAUGCUUCGUUGGCUUUUUGUUUCGUAACCGCAGGUUAUUUGAAAACCAGUCAAACAGUUUUCGUUAAAAUUGUGUGUUUCUAUUGCAAAACAACCGGAGCAGUCCGUCACCGGGCUAUACUUUCCUACCAGGUUCAUCGGGUUGUGCAAUCCGAACUACAAACGCUUCUGUGCUGCUGUGACCUCAGUGAUGCACCGGUCGCUCCAGGGAUUGAUUUUACUCUGAAAUGGCCGAUACAUGUCCAAAUGAUGAGACCAACGACGCUAUGAAAGCUCUGGUCCACGACUGAUGCAUACGUAAUACAUGUCCAACAUAAGCUA